This 511-nucleotide ribosomal RNA is filed under the name uncultured bacterium. Its description in RNAcentral is "bacterial SSU rRNA". It matches the Rfam family "Bacterial small subunit ribosomal RNA", at positions 37 to 526 of the family's 1533-position model. The record is from RNAcentral.
CGUGGCGGCGUGGAUUAGGCAUGCAAGUCGUGCGAGAAAGGGCUUCGGCCCCGGUAAAGCGGCGCACGGGUGAGUAACACGUAGGUCAUCUCCCCUCGAGUGGUGGAUAACCCUCCGAAAGGAGGACUAAUACAGCAUGAGACCACGACCUCGCUGAGGUUGCGGCCAAAGCAGGCCACUACAUGUAAGCUUGCGCUUGAGGAUGAGCCUGCGGCCCAUCAGCUAGUUGGUAGGGUAAUGGCCUACCAAGGCUUAGACGGGUAGCUGGUCUGAGAGGGUGAUCGGCCACACUGGAACUGAGGCACGGUCCAGACUCCUACGGGAGGCAGCAGUGGGGAAUUUUGCGCAAUGGGCUAACGCCUGACGCAGCAACGCCGCGUGGAGGAUGAAGGUCUUUGGAUUGUAAACUCCUGUCAGCAGGGAAAAAGCGACCUGACCUCAUACGUCAGGGAGUUGAUUGUACCUGCAGAGGAAGCCCCGGCUAACUCUGUGCCAGCCGCCGCGGUAAUAC